CCAGGAGCUGCUGAUGUGGGCGAGAGGAGCCACAGGCCCCAUCAGGACUGCGCAAACCCAGACCCAAUCAUCGUAUCCGCAGAACAGGCCCAGGAUGGGGAAGAAACUCUGCUCUGAGCUUUUUCAGCAGCUCCUCAGGGAUGUGUCCUGCAACAUUCACACAAUUAGCUGUGGGUUUGUGCUGGUUGGGAUGUCAUUCCUCUGUUUACUCCACGAGUACCACAACCACCUGUCACAUUUCACUGUAGCAGCUCCUCAGUGUGCAGGAGACACCUGAAACAAGCCUGUGUUUGCCAGCCCAGGAAACAGUGCUGCUUCGGAAUGAUGAAGACAGUAAUCACCAGGAUUGUUCCAUAGCUGUCAUGCUUGUUUUUCCCAAAAAGCAGAGGAAUACUGGACUGGCUGAACUUCUCUUCCCUCAUGCAUCACUUGCUCCUGCAGGCGGGCAGGAGAUGUGCUGUAUGUGUUUGUCUGUACAGGGUGCCCAUGUCUGAGUGUAUCUGUCAUUUUUUGAGGUGUCUUUGCCUUUCUGAGCUGCAGCCUUUUGUCAGUCAUGCUGUGUCCUCGCUGCUGUGCAUGGGGCACUUGUGCAUGCCAUUGCUCUGAUUCUCGUAAGAUCAUCCAGGGGUGUUCAGCAGAGACACAAUGGCAGGAUCAGGGCGAAGGAGGCCUCACAUGAGGGGUUUAGCUUGGGGACUUCCCCAUUCCAGGUGAGGGGAGGGUAGCUCUCUUGCAUGCACAGUGCCCUAUGUGCUGGGAGGCAUGGGGGGCUUCUCUCUCAGGGAUCCAUACUUGCUGUUGGCCACACUUCAAGGUAUUCUUGGCACUUUGAAAUGCUGAAAGUUGUUAAAUCAGAACAAUUCCAACAAGUAUUUGUAAAUGCAUAAAGCCUGGCUUUUUGCCUUUGCUGAUGUCAGUCAGGAGUGACUUCCUGGGCCAUGGAGCCCGGGCUGAGGCUUCAAGAGGGUGGUCAGUGUAGAGCUGUCUCAGCCUGGCAGUGGCUGCCCAUCUCUGCUGCCUGAGGCUCCUCUCAGCUCUCCUGCACCUCCACGGGCCCACCUGAGCUGGGCACCUGGGGCUGGGUAUGCAGCAGCCUCUAGGCAAUGCUUGGUGGGUGCAGGACUCUCAGCCCCACACAGUAGGGACUGUAAUUGCAUUUCAAGUAGGAAAAUGAGGCUGAAAUGGGUAGGAUUUUGAGUGGCUUGGUUUUGUGAGUCACUUCAGAUCAAUAUGCCUGGGACUGGAAACUCAAAUGUCAUCAAGUGGUUGCUGUGUUCCCUUCUGUACUAGAGGCAGUUGCAUUUGUACGUGCAGUCUAUGCACAUUCCUGAUAAGGACCAUCUCAGGAGGUUGUGUUUUCUGUGUACAUACCCAGACCUGCACAUUCACUUGGGUCUAUUAAACACCUGUACCAGUCUGUGCAGCUCCU
Molecule: long non-coding RNA, 1429 nt
Organism: Empidonax traillii (willow flycatcher)
Lineage: Eukaryota; Metazoa; Chordata; Aves; Passeriformes; Tyrannidae
Exons: 2
Source: RefSeq, a predicted model, not a curated record